UGCCUGUGAUGAGUUGCCAUGCUAAUACCGACGCAGCAGUGAAGAGCCAUGUGCUCCAUGCUGGCAGCGGCUGAGUGUAACUGACAUACUGAGGCUG
Spea bombifrons (plains spadefoot toad) is the source of this 97-nucleotide small nucleolar RNA. The record is from RefSeq and is a predicted model, not a curated record. Lineage: Eukaryota; Metazoa; Chordata; Amphibia; Anura; Pelobatidae.